This 332-nucleotide ribosomal RNA is filed under the name uncultured Bacteroidota bacterium. RNAcentral describes it as "bacterial SSU rRNA". It matches the Rfam family "Bacterial small subunit ribosomal RNA", at positions 28 to 351 of the family's 1533-position model. The record is from RNAcentral. Lineage: Bacteria; Pseudomonadati; Bacteroidota.
GAUGAACGCUAGCGGGAGGCUUAACACAUGCAAGUCGAGGGGCAGCACGAGGUAGCAAUACUUUGGUGGCGACCGGCGCACGGGUGAGUAACGCGUAUGCAACCUACCCUGUACAGGGGGGAUAGCCCGGAGAAAUUCGGAUUAAUACCCCAUAAUGAUAUCGAGAGGCAUCUUUUGAUAUUUAAAGUUUCGGCGGUACGGGAUGGGCAUGCGUGACAUUAGCUAGUUGGUAGGGUAACGGCCUACCAAGGCUGCGAUGUCUAGGAGGUCCUGAGAGGGUGACUCCCCCACACUGGUACUGAGACACGGACCAGACACCGUACGGGUGGCUG